UCAAGCUACAAAGGGCGCAUGGUGAAUGCCUUGGCAUCAGGAGCCGAUGAAGGACGUGAUAAGCUGCGAUAAGCUUCGGGUAGGCGCACAUAGCCAGUGAUCCGGAGAUUUCCGAAUGUGGGAACACACAUGGGAAACCCCAUGUAUCGUAUAGUGAAUACAUAGCUAUACGAGGGUAAACCUAGGGAACUGAAACAUCUAAGUACCUAGAGGAAGAGAAAGAAAAAUCGAUUUCCUAAGUAGCGGCGAGCGAAAGGGAAAGAGCCCAAACCAAAGAUUUAUCUUUGGGGUUGCGGACAGAACAUUAACGAGAAGUCAUGAUUAACCGAACACAACUGGAAAGUUGGACCGUAGGAGGUAAUAGUCCUGUAGGUGAAAGUCAAGAUAAUCAAGUUCUGAUCCAGAGUACCACGAGACACGUGAAACCUUGUGGGAAGCAGGGAGGACCACCUCCCAAGGCUAAAUACUACCUGAUGACCGAUAGUGAAGCAGUACCGUGAGGGAAAGGUGAAAAGAACCCCGGGAGGGGAGUGAAAUAGAACCUGAAACCAUAUGUCUACAACCGAUCAAAGCACCUUAUGUGUGCGAUGAUGUGCUUUUUGUAGAACGAGCCAACGAGUUACGAUAUGUAGCAAGGUUAAGUACUUAAGGUACGGAGCCGAAGGGAAACCGAGUCUUAAUAGGGCGACUAGUUGCAUACCGUAGACCCGAAACCGGGUGACCUAUCCAUGGCCAGGUUGAAGCGAGGGUAAAACUUCGUGGAGGACCGAACCACGUUGCUGUUGAAAAAGCAUGGGAUGAGCUGUGGAUAGCGGAGAAAUUCCAAUCGAACUCGGAGAUAGCUGGUUCUCCUCGAAAUAGCUUUAGGGCUAGCGUCGAAUAUGAGUAAUGGAGGUAGAGCACUGAAUGGGCUAGGGGGCAUAGCGCUUACCGAACCUUAUCAAACUCCGAAUGCCAUAUACUAUAAGUUCGGCAGUCAGACUACGAAUGAUAAGAUCCGUGGUCAAAAGGGAAACAGCCCAGAUCGUCAGCUAAGGUCCCAAAGUGUAAGUUAAGUGGAAAAGGAUGUGGGAUUUCUAAGACAACUAGGAUGUUGGCUUAGAAGCAGCCACUCAUUAAAAGAGUGCGUAAUAGCUCACUAGUCGAGAGAUCCUGCGCCGAAGAUGUUCGGGGCUAAAACUUACCACCGAAGCUACGGGCUUGAAUUUAUUCAAGCGGUAGAGGAGCGUCGUAAUCGGGCUGAAGUCAUACCGUAAGGAGUGGUGGACUGAUUACGAGUGAGAAUGUUGGCAUUAGUAGCGAGAUGUAGGUGAGAAUCCUACAGGCCGAAUACCUAAGGUUUCCUCAGGAAGGCUCGUCCGCUGAGGGUUAGUCGGGACCUAAGCCGAGGCCGAAAGGCGUAGGUGAUGGACAACUGGUUGAUAUUCCAGUACCACUACCAUCGUUAUUAUCGAUGGCGUGACGCAGGAGGAUAGUGUGUGCUAGCUAUUGGAUGCUAGUCUAAGCAUUUAGUCAGUUACAAUAGGCAAAUCCGUUGUAAUAAUGAUGAGAUGUUAUGGGGAAGGUUCUACGGAACCGAAGUACAUGAUUCCACGCUGCCAAGAAAAGCGUCUAGAGAGAGAAGUAGUGCCCGUACCGCAAACCGACACAGGUAGGUGAGGAGAGAAUCCUAAGGCCGGCGGAAGAAUUGCAGUUAAGGAACUCGGCAAAUUGAUCCCGUAAGUUAGCAAUAAGGGAUGCCUAUGAGAGUAGGCCGCAGAGAAUAGGCUCAAGCAACUGUUUAGCAAAAACACAGGUCUCUGCUAAAGCGUAAGCUGAUGUAUAGGGGCUGACGCCUGCCCGGUGCUGGAAGGUUAAGGGGAACACUUAGCGUAAGCGAAGGUGUGAACUUAAGCCCCAGUAAACGGCGGCCGUAACUAUAACGGUCCUAAGGUAGCGAAAUUCCUUGUCAGGUAAGUUCUGACCCGC
RNAcentral lists this ribosomal RNA (1968 nucleotides) under human gut metagenome. Its description in RNAcentral is "bacterial LSU rRNA". It matches the Rfam family "Bacterial large subunit ribosomal RNA", at positions 3 to 1991 of the family's 2925-position model. The record is from RNAcentral.